This 69-nucleotide transfer RNA is filed under the name Caudoviricetes sp. RNAcentral describes it as "tRNA-OTHER". It matches the Rfam family "tRNA". From Rfam's summary of the family: Transfer RNA (tRNA) molecules are approximately 80 nucleotides in length. The record is from RNAcentral. Lineage: Duplodnaviria; Heunggongvirae; Uroviricota; Caudoviricetes.
GGAUCGUUAGUUCAGUUGGUCAGAGCAUUUCACAAAUAGGAAACGCAGGUUCGAAUCCUGCACGAUUCA